This 337-nucleotide unclassified non-coding RNA is filed under the name soil metagenome. RNAcentral's name for it is "partial contains 5.8S ribosomal RNA, internal transcribed spacer 2, and large subunit ribosomal RNA". The stretch from base 1 to 120 matches the Rfam family "5.8S ribosomal RNA", at positions 35 to 154 of the family's 154-position model. The record is from RNAcentral.
GAUGAAGAACGUAGCGAAAUGCGAUAAGUAGUGUGAAUUGCAGAAUUCAGUGAAUCAUCGAAUCCUUGAACGCACAUUGCGCCCCAUGGUAUUCCGUGGGGCAUGCCUGUUCGAGCGUCAUUUACCCCCUCAAGCUCCGCUUGGUGUUGGGCGUCUGUCCCGCUUCGCGCGCGGACUCGCCCCAAAGGUAUUGGCAGCGGUCGUGCCAGCUUCUCGCGCAGCACAUUGCGCUUCUCGAGGCACCGGUGGGCCCGCGUCCAUCAAGCUCACCCCCCCAGUUUGACCUCGGAUCAGGUAGGGAUACCCGCUGAACUUAAGCAUAUCAAUAAGCGGAGGA